UACGUAGGGGGCAAGCGUUAUCCGGAAUCACUGGGUGUAAAGGGAGCGUAGACGGCUGUGCAAGCCUGAAGUGAAAGGCGGGGGCCCAACCCCCGGACUGCUUUGGGAACUGUACGGCUGGAGUGCAGGAGAGGUAAGUGGAAUUCCUAGUGUAGCGGUGAAAUGCGUAGAUAUUAGGAGGAACACCGGCGGCGAAGGCGGCCUGCUGGACCGCGACUGACGUUGAGGCUCGAAAGCGUGGGGAGCGAACAGG
This 253-nucleotide ribosomal RNA is filed under the name uncultured Eubacteriales bacterium. RNAcentral's name for it is "uncultured Clostridiales bacterium partial 16S ribosomal RNA". It matches the Rfam family "Bacterial small subunit ribosomal RNA", at positions 524 to 776 of the family's 1533-position model. Lineage: Bacteria; Bacillati; Bacillota; Clostridia; Eubacteriales. The record is from RNAcentral.